RNAcentral lists this ribosomal RNA (500 nucleotides) under uncultured bacterium. RNAcentral's name for it is "partial 16S ribosomal RNA". It matches the Rfam family "Bacterial small subunit ribosomal RNA", at positions 30 to 523 of the family's 1533-position model. The record is from RNAcentral.
AUUGAACGCUGGCGGAAUGCUUUACACAUGCAAGUCGAACGGCAGCACGGGGGCAACUCUGGUGGCGAGUGGCGAACGGGUGAGUAAUACAUCGGAACGUGCCCAGUCGUGGGGGAUAACGUAGCGAAAGUUACGCUAAUACCGCAUACGAUCUACGGAUGAAAGCGGGGGACCGUAAGGCCUCGCGCGAUUGGAGCGGCCGAUGUCAGAUUAGGUAGUUGGUGGGGUAAAGGCCCACCAAGCCAACGAUCUGUAGCUGGUGUGAGAGGACGACCAGCCACACUGGAACUGAGACACGGUCCAGACUCCUACGGGAGGCAGCAGUGGGGAAUUUUGGACAAUGGGCGAAAGCCUGAUCCAGCCAUUCCGCGUGCAGGAUGAAGGCCCUCGGGUUGUAAACUGCUUUUGUACAGAACGAAAAGGUUUCUACUAAUACCAGGAGCCCAUGACGGUACUGUAAGAAUAAGCACCGGCUAACUACGUGCCAGCCGCCGCAGUAA